This 291-nucleotide ribosomal RNA is filed under the name uncultured Phycisphaerae bacterium. RNAcentral describes it as "partial 16S ribosomal RNA". It matches the Rfam family "Bacterial small subunit ribosomal RNA", at positions 1098 to 1382 of the family's 1533-position model. Lineage: Bacteria; Pseudomonadati; Planctomycetota; Phycisphaerae. The record is from RNAcentral.
GAAACCCUUGCCCGUUAGUUACCAGCGGGUCAUGCCGGGAACUCUAGCGGGACUGCCGGUGUUAAACCGGAGGAAGGUGGGGAUGACGUCAAGUCAUCAUGGCCUUUAUGCCUAGGGCCAUCACACGUGCUACAAUGGCCGGGACAAAGCGACGCAAGACCGCGAGGUGGAGCUAAUCGCAAAAACCCGGCCCCAGUUCGGAAUUGCAGGCUGGCAACUCGCCUGCAUGAAGUUGGAAUCGCUAGUAAUCGUGAAUCAGCUAUGUCACGGUGAAUGUCGUUCCUGAGCCUU